This is a non-coding RNA of Triticum urartu, 198 nucleotides long. The record is from Rfam. Lineage: Eukaryota; Viridiplantae; Streptophyta; Magnoliopsida; Poales; Poaceae.
UAGGUUUGUCCUAAGUCAAACUUCCUCAAUUGUGAACAAGUUUAUAGAAAAAAUUACUAAUAUCCACAACUUCAAAUAUAGAUAGCAUGAAAAUAUAUUUUAUGAAGAAUCCAGUGAAACUAAUUUGGGGUCGUAAAUGUUCGUAUAUUUUUCUGUAGAGUCGAUCAAACUUAAAGAAGUGAGUUAGGACAAACCUAG